RNAcentral lists this ribosomal RNA (373 nucleotides) under uncultured Glomeromycotina. RNAcentral's name for it is "LSU rRNA". Lineage: Eukaryota; Fungi; Glomeromycota. The record is from RNAcentral.
UUGAAAGGGAAACGAUUGAAGUCAGUCGUACCUUUGGGUAAUCAGCCUUUUGGGUGUGAUUUUGUGGAGUGUGGGGAGUUAAACGCCUUCAUGCCUGCAUAUUCGUGCACUUUGGGUGUAUUUGCCCGUGUGGUAAGUUAACAUCAAUUUUGGUGGUCAUAAAAUGGCUGGAGGAAUGUAGCUUCGAUCUCGUAUUGAAGUGUUAUAGCCUUCGGUAGAUGUGAUUAUCGGGAUUGAGGAUUGCAACGGAUACCCUUCGGGGCUACCUGUCUGAUCUCUGAUCGUUGCUCUGGUGCCGAAAGCUUGCUUACGGUUAUCAAAGUCGAUGGUCAAUAGGUUAGAACGGGUUAAAUUCGUUAAGGAUGUUGACGUA